UAUUAAUAAUGAUAAUUAUUUAUUAUUAUUUCAUAAUAAUAAUUAAUUAAAUUAUUACUUAGUUGGGUCAACCCAUAACUCAUUUAACCCUAAACUCAUUUGAUUAUGAGUUGAGUUGAGUUGGGUUACCCAUUUUGACAUCCUUAUGCAUGUCGCACCAUUAGACAACAACCUACCACCGUCAGAAGGCAACUAGUCUAUCGAAAUGACUUCUUUGCAUCUAGUUGUAGCAUCUAAACGUCUAAAAGAACAGUACCAAAAUGAAUGAACACGUCGAGGAAAGCAUUGUAGAAGUCCGUUACUCCUAAUCUAUAAAAGAUCGACACAAUUAUGAAGACUAUUUGUAUGAUG
RNAcentral lists this small RNA (351 nucleotides) under Arabidopsis thaliana (thale cress). Its description in RNAcentral is "ATSL058940". Lineage: Eukaryota; Viridiplantae; Streptophyta; Magnoliopsida; Brassicales; Brassicaceae. The record is from RNAcentral.